AGAAUCCCGGGUGCGUCCGUGGGCACUGAGGAAGAAGACUCAACUAGUUGAACUGUUCUGGCCCAGUCGUGUCUUUGCAACGAUGGAGGACGACGAGGUUCACCUUUACACUGCAGAAGGUGAAAGAGAGUGUGACUAAAGAGGAGCCCGUCACCUCAAGUCCAAAGGGU
Long non-coding RNA from Boleophthalmus pectinirostris (great blue-spotted mudskipper), 170 nucleotides. RefSeq lists it as uncharacterized. NCBI's taxonomy places the organism in Eukaryota, Metazoa, Chordata, Actinopteri, Gobiiformes, Gobiidae. The record is from RefSeq and is a predicted model, not a curated record. The transcript has 3 exons.